RNAcentral lists this transfer RNA (105 nucleotides) under Nitrososphaerota archaeon. RNAcentral's name for it is "Thaumarchaeota archaeon tRNA-Cys". Lineage: Archaea; Thermoproteati; Nitrososphaerota. The record is from RNAcentral.
GGUGGGGUGGCGGAGCGGUUACGCGUGCGCCUGCAGAGCGCAUUCACAUGGGUCCGAAAGCUGGUGCUCAGAAAGUGGGCAUCGCCGGGGCUCCCAUCCCCACCU